GACGAGGGGUCCUAGCGUUGCUCGGAAUCAUUGGGCGUAAAGCGGAUGUAGGCGGCUUUGCAAGUCGGAAGUGAAAGCCCCGGGCUUAACCCGGGAAGUGCUUUCGAUACUGCUUAGCUUGAGUGUGGGAGAGGAUAGUAGAAUACCUGGUGUAGUGGUGAAAUACGUAGAUAUCAGGUGGAAUACCGGUGGCGAAGGCGGCUAUCUGGCCCAACACUGACGCUGAGAUCCGAAAGCGUGGGGAUCAAACAGG
Molecule: ribosomal RNA, 253 nt
Filed under: uncultured Bdellovibrio sp.
Lineage: Bacteria; Pseudomonadati; Bdellovibrionota; Bdellovibrionia; Bdellovibrionales; Pseudobdellovibrionaceae
Description: partial 16S ribosomal RNA
Rfam family: Bacterial small subunit ribosomal RNA
Source: RNAcentral